GUAUUAAUUGCGUGUUAUCGCAAGAGACAUUCUACACUGUAUCGAGUUUGUGUGAAAACGCAAGCCCCCCCUCUGGACGAGCCAGAGAGGGACCCACGCGGUGGUGCACAAAGGGUGAGAUGGAUUGUGUGAGAGCACUUGGGCGUGCACGACCGAAAAGGUCAGCGACAGCCCUCGCACCUCGGUUUUACAAUAAUGAUCCUUCCGCAGGUUCACCUACGGAAA
Molecule: unclassified non-coding RNA, 225 nt
Filed under: uncultured fungus
Lineage: Eukaryota; Fungi
Description: sequence contains ITS1
Source: RNAcentral